RNAcentral lists this ribosomal RNA (439 nucleotides) under Tenagobia incerta. Its description in RNAcentral is "partial large subunit ribosomal RNA". Lineage: Eukaryota; Metazoa; Arthropoda; Insecta; Hemiptera; Corixidae. The record is from RNAcentral.
GUCCUUUUGAUUUUUAUUUAAGGUCUAUCCUGCUCACUGAUUUUAUAAUUAAAUAGCCGCAGUAUUUUGACUGUGCAAAGGUAGCAUAAUCAUUUGUCUCUUAAUUAGGGGCUGGUAUGAAUGGUUUGACGAAAAAACAACUUUAUUAAUUAAAUAUAUUGAAAUUUAUUUUUAAGUUAAAAAGCUUAAAUUUUUUUAUGGGACGAUAAGACCCUAUAGAACUUUAUUAUUUUUAUUUUUAAAAAAUUUUUGUUAAUUGAUUUUUUUAAUUUAAAAAUAAUUUUAUUGGGGUGAUAUUGAUUUAUAUUUAACAAUUAAUUUUAUUUUUCAAAAAUUAUUGUUUAUUAUUGAUCCAAUUAUGUUGAUUAUAAGUUUAAGUUACCUUAGGGAUAACAGCGUUAUUUAUCUUUAGAGUUCUUAUCGAAGGAUAAGUUUGCGA